AGCCUCCUGUAUCCGUGCUGCGAUUUCGUCACACACCAGACCACAAGGGCUUAUGAGACUUCCAAGAUAAGUGAAGCG
RNAcentral lists this microRNA precursor (78 nucleotides) under Schistosoma margrebowiei. RNAcentral's name for it is "mir-3492 microRNA precursor family". It matches the Rfam family "mir-3492 microRNA precursor family". Lineage: Eukaryota; Metazoa; Platyhelminthes; Trematoda; Strigeidida; Schistosomatidae. The record is from Rfam by way of RNAcentral.